AAUCAACGCUGGCGGCGUGCCUCAGACAUGCAAGUCGAACGCGAAAGUUUCCUUCGGGGGAACAAGUAGAGUGGCGCACGGGUGAGUAACACGUAGGUAAUCUACCUUUGGAUGGGGAAUAACAACCGGAAACGGUUGCUAAUACCGCAUAAUGCAGCGGCACCUAAUGGUGACAGUUGUUAAAGCGGGGGAUCGAAAGACCUCGCGUCUGAAGAGGAGCCUGCGGCGGAUUAGCUAGUUGGAAGGUAAUGGCUUACCAAGGCUUCGAUCCGUAGCCGGCCUGAGAGGGCGGUCGGCCACACUGACACUGACAUACGGGUCAGACUCCUACGGGA
This 335-nucleotide ribosomal RNA is filed under the name uncultured bacterium. RNAcentral describes it as "bacterial SSU rRNA". It matches the Rfam family "Bacterial small subunit ribosomal RNA", at positions 32 to 346 of the family's 1533-position model. The record is from RNAcentral.